UGUAACAUACAGCAACUGCGCAGUCGAGGAAAUAGCCUGAAAGUUCAACUAGGGAAAGUGCCAUUGCUGGGCUGUGGAAUCAUUGACAGUUCCUAACUUCGAGGAUAUAAAGUAUCGACUUUGACUUCUGCACAUCUUAAUUUCUACGUACCUGGGAGCUGUGAGAAGAGCCACCAAACUGUAAUGGGGCUGCUUUCUAUGGCGCGUACACUCGUUCUCCUGUUCUCAGUCAUUUGCUCUAUAAACGGUCUUCGUUGUUAUACAUGCACCUAUGGUGCAACAGGCGAGUCUACGAACACUCCUCAUUGCGCGGACCCUUUCCUUCAGAACACGCAUAUGCCCAACGUUCUCCCUCUGGACUGUGCUAACGUAUCAAGACUUGCGUCGGAGGCCGUAGCUGAUGCAGGAAUAAAAAAAUUAGACACUUGCAUGAAAACAGUGAGCUCUCCGCUUGGCUGGGAUGUCUUCAGCAGGACAUGUUAUGACAGCAGCCAGUGCCCAACUACGAAUGGAUGCUUCUCAAACGCCGGAGCUACUAUCUGUUGCUGCAACACGGACUUGUGCAACGGUUCCGCGGCGUUAGUCUCCGAACUCGUGAUUGCAGUGGCUCUUGUCUGUGCAGUGUUUAUGCUUGUGGUUUAAAAUCAUACAUGUAUCAGAUGAGCAGCCCUUGAUUAAUAAACGAAAUAUGAUCGACAAAUUAAACAAAAAAUUCAACUCCUCACAUGUUGAAUACGGAGCACCGGAGGUGCAUUCUGACUUGUCUAGAUUCUAACACAUUUUGUCUCGGAAUGGCAUCCUGCAAUCUAAAAUAACGACAUCCUAAAAUGAUUUAUCAUGGGAUGACGAUAUCCCGAUAGUGAGAAGACAUCUCAAGAACUUACCACAGGAAGACGCAUCCUGAAAGCAUGACGUUAACAUCCUGGGGUAAUUUUAUUACUAAAUUUCCACAGGGCUUCGAUCUCCAACUUUCAGAAUACUAUCUUGCGAUUUUGUCAUUACACUUUGGGGACAUCGUCAUUUCAUUGAUGAUCUCAAGAAGUCAACAUUUUGCUUGUAACGUUCGUAAGAUGACGCCCUCCUGAGAUAAGAUAUGUCAACAUCCCAACAUGUCGGAUGACACUGACUUCCGGAACUCUACAUGCAGUUAAAAGACAUUUCUUGAACUGUUACUGUUUGUUAUUUGCUAAGUGGAAGUGGUUGAAUAAUGUUAGGUCUAAUUCCCCCACAAACCUCUCAGAAGAAUCAUCGGGGAAUCUACAUCUUGUUUUUAGCAUUGUUGAAGGCUAUCAAAAUAAUUAUGCGUUAUUUUUACAACUUUCUGUAGCGAUAUUGAGCACAUAUAAUUACAAUUUCCCCAGAUUGGGUUAUUUUAGGCUAAUUCUGUACAGUAACUCUGUAACCAUAAAGUCGCUAAGCGAUCGUCCAACCAGCCAAAUAAACAAGGCUGGAUUUACACUUCCCUUGAACAUAAUAUGGGGGAUUUGGGAGUAAAUAAAGGGAAACAAAAGGAAAUAAUUAAAAAAAAGCAACAAUUUAUAAUUUUACAUUUUUCUGCUUGCACAAUUAAUACAUUGUUUCAAACCUUUACGUAUUUGGUACGUAGCGCCCUCUACUUUGCUGCAGAAGAAAAGACAAAUUGUUGCAUCAAGGCAAUACAAAAUUGUCAGAAUGAACUCGAGGGCAUUAGAAAAUCUUAUAUUUAGCAAACUUGUAGAAUGGAAACUUGAGACAUCUGAAAACGGUGGUUUUUAAUGGCACUGCGGGUAUUUGUGCCCUCCUGCUAAAAAAAAGUCAUUUUGGGAACCAUUAUUUUUGUAAACUGCUAAAAUCAUACUAUGAGCCAAUCCACUUUCGAGUACAGUGCCAGCGUCAGCCGUUUUGCCUUGUACGAUCUUGACAAGAUGACAAGGGAAAACUCGGUUGGCUCCAAUGAACCGCAUUCGCGGCGUGCCCAAUCACAGUCGUAUUCCUGAACGGACAGUAUACAUUUGAAACCCUUAAUGGGAUGGUACCAGGUCAUGGGGGGGGGUUCGGAAU
Molecule: RNA transcript, 2040 nt
Organism: Acanthaster planci (crown-of-thorns starfish)
Lineage: Eukaryota; Metazoa; Echinodermata; Asteroidea; Valvatida; Acanthasteridae
Source: RefSeq, a predicted model, not a curated record